AUGGUGUUGCAGACCCAGGUCUUCAUUUCUCUGUUGCUCUGGAUCUCUGGUGCCUACGGGGACAUCGUGAUGACCCAGUCUCCAGACUCCCUGGCUGUGUCUCUGGGCGAGAGGGCCACCAUCAACUGCAAGUCCAGCCAGAGUGUUUUAUACAGCUCCAACAAUAAGAACUACUUAGCUUGGUACCAGCAGAAACCAGGACAGCCUCCUAAGCUGCUCAUUUACUGGGCAUCUACCCGGGAAUCCGGGGUCCCUGACCGAUUCAGUGGCAGCGGGUCUGGGACAGAUUUCACUCUCACCAUCAGCAGCCUGCAGGCUGAAGAUGUGGCAGUUUAUUACUGUCAGCAAUAUUAUAGUACUCCU
Molecule: non-coding RNA, 363 nt
Organism: Homo sapiens (human)
Lineage: Eukaryota; Metazoa; Chordata; Mammalia; Primates; Hominidae
Source: the annotation of a RefSeq genome assembly